Molecule: unclassified non-coding RNA, 583 nt
Filed under: Zea mays
Lineage: Eukaryota; Viridiplantae; Streptophyta; Magnoliopsida; Poales; Poaceae
Description: misc RNA Zm00001eb387710
Source: RNAcentral
GUCCACAUAUAUAUACACAACGAAAAGCUCGUCCAGUAUUGCUCUUAUUUAGGACGAUCAGAUGUACACAUCCUUACAUAAGUUACAGACGAUAUUUGAGAAUAGAUCGACCUAUUGACAUGGAUGGGUUGAUUGAGAGACCCACAGAAAGACCAAAGAUUUCACAUGGUGAUACGAUCGGCGCGGCGUGCAUGCACAUGGACACCUGCAGGGCUAGCUCCACGGACCUAGCUGCUGGAGGCGGUGGCAUGGAACCUGGCGAUGAACGCCGACGCCUUCAUGUCGACGUCGCGCUCGCCAACGUACCACAGGCCAUCCUCGUCACUCGGCCGCACCUUCCUGGACGACCGCCGCGGCUGCUCGUACCCCGGCUCGUCGGCGUAGUACCCGCCUCCUGACCCGCCGAAGCAAGACAGGCUGGCUCCCAUUCCGGCGGCGACCGACCGAUCACCCGAAGCUUCUCUCGGAGUCGGAGCACAGCACAGACGACAGUUUCAGGCACUGGACGCGGUAAGCUCACUAGGAAACUUCUGCUGCCUGCUGCUGGAGGGUGUGGUAGUUGUGCUCGGAGGUCGGAGGGCAA